This is a non-coding RNA of Phascolarctos cinereus (koala), 387 nucleotides long. Lineage: Eukaryota; Metazoa; Chordata; Mammalia; Diprotodontia; Phascolarctidae. The record is from RefSeq and is a predicted model, not a curated record.
GAAACUAAUGUACAAUGCUGAUGAACUUCUCUGGGCAACCAGAUUUUGACAUAAUAUUCCAUAAGCCCAAGAGCUCUAAGCAGCCUUUCAUCUGAAAGAAGGUUUCCAUCAUCUCAUCCAAGUGGAAUGACCACAGCUUCCAUCCUGGCCUUUGCAUCAACAGCUAAGAAACAGCCAAAAGGAAAAAGAAGACAUCUGCGGCAGGCAGGCAGAGGUAGCUUUGAAGUCUCUAAUUCUGUUCCUUGCCACAGUCACAGAAGACAGAAAGAGGCAUUGACAUCCAGCAACCAUUCCAGCUAUGGUUCCUUUCUGAAUUGCUCUACAGUCAGCCAGGGGAGUCACAUGGCUUCUCUGAGAUCAUUUAAGAAUAAAUUCUGCAUUGCUCCA